Molecule: small nucleolar RNA, 88 nt
Organism: Batrachochytrium dendrobatidis JEL423
Lineage: Eukaryota; Fungi; Chytridiomycota; Chytridiomycetes; Rhizophydiales
Rfam family: Small nucleolar RNA snR60/Z15/Z230/Z193/J17
About the family: The members of this family belong to the C/D class of snoRNAs which contain the C (UGAUGA) and D (CUGA) box motifs.
Source: Rfam
CUAUUGCGCAUGAUGAUUGUAUAAGCAUAGUUCACCUGAAACUAUCAUGUAGAUACAAAUUUUCUUUCGCCCCUAUCUGAUGCAAUGC